This 253-nucleotide ribosomal RNA is filed under the name uncultured bacterium. Its description in RNAcentral is "partial 16S ribosomal RNA". It matches the Rfam family "Bacterial small subunit ribosomal RNA", at positions 524 to 776 of the family's 1533-position model. The record is from RNAcentral.
UACGAAGGGGGCAAGCGUUGUCCGGAUUUAUUGGGCGUAAAGAGCGUGUAGGCGGCCUGACAGGUCUGCUGUGAAAACUCGAGGCUCAACCUCGAGAUGUCGGCGGAAACCGUCUGGCUAGAGUCCGGAAGAGGAGAGUGGAAUUCCUGGUGUAGCGGUGAAAUGCGCAGAUAUCAGGAAGAACACCUAUGGCGAAGGCAGCUCUCUGGGACGGUACUGACGCUGAGACGCGAAAGCGUGGGGAGCGAACAAG